RNAcentral lists this ribosomal RNA (491 nucleotides) under Streptococcus sobrinus. RNAcentral describes it as "bacterial SSU rRNA". It matches the Rfam family "Bacterial small subunit ribosomal RNA", at positions 28 to 496 of the family's 1533-position model. The record is from RNAcentral. Lineage: Bacteria; Bacillati; Bacillota; Bacilli; Lactobacillales; Streptococcaceae.
GACGAACGCGGGCGGCGUGCUUAAUACAUGCAAGUGGAACGCAUUGGUAACCCGGACUUGCUCCAGUGUUACUAUUGAGUCGCGAACGGGUGAGUAACGCGUAGGUAACCUGCCUGAUAGCGGGGGAUAACUAUGGGAAACGAUAGCUAAUACCGCAUAAGAGGAGUUAACUCAUGUUAACUGUUUAAAAGAAGCAAUGGCUUCACUAUCAGAUGGACCCGCGUUGUAUUAGCUAGUAGGUAGGGUAACGGCCUACCUAGGCAACGAUACAUAGCCGACCUGAGAGGGUGAUCGGCCACACUGGGACUGAGACACGGCCCAGACUCCUACGGGAGGCAGCAGUAGGGAAUCUUCGGCAAUGGACGCAAGUCUGACCGAGCAACGCCGCGUGAGUGAAGACGGUUUUCGGAUCGUAAAGCUCUGUUGUAGGGGAAGAACGUGUGUAAGAGUGGAAAGCUUACACAGUGACGGACCCUACCAGAAAGGACGCA